Molecule: ribosomal RNA, 504 nt
Filed under: Sphingobacterium sp. HCUBPB14
Lineage: Bacteria; Pseudomonadati; Bacteroidota; Sphingobacteriia; Sphingobacteriales; Sphingobacteriaceae
Description: bacterial SSU rRNA
Rfam family: Bacterial small subunit ribosomal RNA
Source: RNAcentral
GGGGGCAACCCUGAACCAGCCAUGCCGCGUGCAGGACGACUGCCCUAUGGGUUGUAAACUGCUUUUGUUAGGGAAUAAACCCCGCUACGUGUAGCGGGCUGAAUGUACCUAAAGAAUAAGGAUCGGCUAACUCCGUGCCAGCAGCCGCGGUAAUACGGAGGAUCCGAGCGUUAUCCGGAUUUAUUGGGUUUAAAGGGUGCGUAGGCGGCACUUUAAGUCAGGGGUGAAAGACGGCAGCUCAACUGUCGCAGUGCCCUUGAUACUGAAGUGCUUGAAUGCGGUUGAAGACGGCGGAAUGAGACAAGUAGCGGUGAAAUGCAUAGAUAUGUCUCAGAACACCGAUUGCGAAGGCAGCUGUCUAAGCCGUUAUUGACGCUGAUGCACGAAAGCGUGGGGAUCGAACAGGAUUAGAUACCCUGGUAGUCCACGCCCUAAACGAUGAUGACUCGAUGUUUGCGAUAUACCGUAAGCGUCCAAGCGAAAGCGUUAAGUCAUCCACCUGGG